CCCUUGUUUAUUUGCUGUCUCCUUCGCCUUGCUUCACAACACAACCAAUUGGUAGGACCAAACCUACCAAUAUGAACUGAGCUGAGGACCUGCUGUAGGACCUGUGACAGAAUGGUCCGCAUUUUGAGUGGUAUGUGGAGGACUUCCUGGAUCUUUCCCAUCUGCUCCUCCCAAGGUAGCGGCUUGCGCUGCAACAUUUCCAGAAGUGGCGGAGACCGCUCCAGAAUGCUCUCCAGAGUCCAUUCCAAAAUGCUCUUCAGUGCUCAACCAGGGGUCCACUAACACCACAGAGCUCAACCAGGAGCUCACUCACGCCACAGAGCUCAACCGGGAGCCCAGUCCUCCUAAGUCUCCUGAAUCUCAGCUGGUUCCAUCCAGCUCUCCUGAGUCUCCUGAAUCUCAGCUGGUUCCGUCCAGCUCUCCUAAAUCUCCUGAAUCUCCACUGGUUCCAUCCAGCUCUCCUGGGUCUCCUGAAUCUCUGCUGGUUCCGUCUAGCUCCCCUGAGUCUCCUGAAUCUCAGCUGGUUCCGUCCAGUUCUCCUGAGUCUCCUGAAUUUCUGCUGGUUCCGGCCAGUUUUUUAGGUUUGUAGGUUUUACAGGUGCAGGAAUUUUUAGUGUUUUAUAUACAUAAGAUACAUAAGAACAUGAACAAAGAAAUAAAGUAAAUCAAACUGACAAAUACAAUAAAACAAAGACACAAGUGAAAUAAACAGUGCCUUAAGUUUUCCAUGAAGGUCUGUUCAGGUAAAUAAUAUAGCCUACAAAAUAAAUCUAAUAAGCAAUCAAAUGUAAAUGAACACUGCAUAGUUUUCAAUGUAUGAGUUGAUAGAUUAAUGCUUAUUAAAGCUAACGUUAUUCAGAUUGAGAGCUGUAAGUAAUUUUCUCUUUGCAUUUUGCUGUUUGAUUAACAUUGAUGGCUCAAGCGCCAGUCACUGCUGUCACUUUAAAACAAUAUUAAUUGACACACAUCGGAUUUUCUCCCAACUGUUCACGACUACUUAAGACAUAAACUGUGUUUAAGUGAAUACUCUCCCAAGCUGGCUAUUUUGACAUAUUUUGUGUGUAUUUGAUCGCUUGGACGUGCACCUGAAGCCCUAAGUUGCUUGUCUAGUCCGUGCGCACACAUUUCAACCUGGGGAAGAGCAUCUCUUGCCCGGAAUAUUGUGCUUUCAACAUUUUAUUAUCAAACAUGUCCCUCAAUUUAGCAACAGUUAAGACGCCAUUUUACAACAAUCACUGUUUGUGCUCAUUCUGACGUUAGGUUUGGGUUUUAGGGUGGAGCAAAUGCACACCACUGUUAAAGGGUUAGUACCCAAAAAAUUUAAAUUAGCCUGUAUUUUACUCACCUUCGAAGAAUCCUAGGUGUAUAUGACUUUCUUCUUUCAGACGAAUCCUGUUGUAGUUACAGUAUAUUUAAAAUUGUCCUGGUUAUUCCAAGCUGUAUCUUUGCAGUCAGUGGGUGUUGCAGUUGAACAGUCCACAAGUUGUCAAAUAAAGUGUGCUUCGGGGGCUGAAUAAAGGCCUCCUGUAGUGAAUCCAUUCGUUUUUGUAAGAAAAAUAUCCAUAUAUCACAUGUAAUAAACACUUUUCUCUCACUUCCUGUAUCUGUCAUACGUACAAGUACUUUUUGAGGCUGAUGUAUACUAUCCUAAAGUUUUGCAUCAUGUGAUGUACUGUAGCAAUUAAGAGUUUGGCGAUAAAUAAAUCUCCCCUGACAGGCAUUGGGACAUCUUGCAUACAAAACGAAUGCAAACGUUAGCAAGUGAACACCCUUUUUGAGCAGUGCCCUUUUUUCUUUUUUUUCUUUUUUCUUUUUUUGGAGUAUAGCUUCCUUUCUUUCUGUCUCUGUCCUGUGGGGAAGGACGGUCCUGGUUUCAUUAUCUGUUAAAAUACACACUAAAUGCUAAUAUGUACAAUAAGAGGGUGCUAAGGCCCUGGAUAGACAGAUAAUCUAUUAUUGGAAGAGAUCUUUGGCUAUUCAACAUGUUUCAACUAUAGGAGGUCUCGAUGCAUUAUAUGUUGUCAAUCCAACUGAUCUGCUGGUGGAAAAGAAGGUAGAUACGGAUUAGACAAAUCUGAAAUAAUCUGCUGAAAGCUCAAAAGCUUGAGAUGUCUAGAGUUUUUUGGUCAUUUAUUCAUUUUAGGAGGUCAGCAGCACUAAUGAAAGCUAUAGGCACUUGAUGGGCUUCUGGGAUUGACGAAUUGGAUUGACAGAAUGACGGUAGCACAGAAGAGUUAAGUUUUACUGCUCUUUAAAUAGACCACAUGAUUUGACCUCUACAGGUCAUGUUGAUGACAGCUGUUUGGACCCGGUCAUUGCCCUUGUUUACUCUGUCAGUCCUGUGUCUACAUAACAGCUUCUUGGUUCAGGCACAUAAUCAUUUGGGUGAAUGGUGAAGAAUUGUGUCACAGUUCAGAAAUUUUACAGAAAAUAAAUUAGUCAUAAAAACGAGAAGUGUUGCAGAAAUGCCUGUGCGUUGAGUUAGAUAUCAGUGUCAAGGUAAACAUGAGAUGUCAG
Molecule: long non-coding RNA, 2517 nt
Organism: Cyprinus carpio carpio
Lineage: Eukaryota; Metazoa; Chordata; Actinopteri; Cypriniformes; Cyprinidae
Source: Ensembl